AUAGAUUUCCUGAAUUAAUCGGUCGCACUAUCCCCAAGCUUGAUAGUGACAUAAUCCACGAUCGCGCAAUAGCAGAACUUUGUGCAGACCUCGCGGGAAUCGUGCUAAAUAAACAAAUCUGUCGCGAUUAAUUACCAUCUGGAUAACGCCUGGCCAGAUGUUAUCGGCGUGAAUCCGGGCGAACAUUUGCGCGGAUACGGUAACUUACGCAAGAUUUUCGACAUUACCUCAAGUUUAGUCAACCUUGAUGUUACAUACGCUCGCUCGCGUGCACAUUGCGUAGAUGUUAAACGGCCGAUUAUGUAACGAUUAAGUCCAGCGUUAGUCAGCAGCCACGUAAGCCCCUAAUCGCCUCGGCUUGCAAAUUACAAAAUCGACAGCGCUAAAUUGAGGCGUAAUUUCAAUAACAGCAAAAGCAACAAUAACAAAAUGAUUUGACGUUAAUACAGAGAGUCGACGAGAAGAUAAUUCGGAGAGCAAGACUCGUAAAAUUCGGAGGAGCACAUCAAGACUUACACGUAAUCGCUUAGCCGCUUAUGUAACGAGUACGGCUAAGCUCGUGUAUAUGCGAAGCUUCGUGGUUCGCGGCGUAUUUCGCGGCCCACCUCGGCGAGAAAUCAAGAUGACACAAUAUGUGUACCGUUUCAGUCUUUCGUAAAAGAUUUCACAAAGCAAGCGAAUCGUUUGCGUCCCGAUAUGAAUGUAAACGCGAAUAUUUUUCAGGUGAUUCGUCGAAGUUGCGUAACAAAAUUCUACUGUUCACCGAGUAAGAUAUAUUCGACAUAUAUCGAUAUGUUACUGACCGCGGUCGUAUCCGGUUAGGGACACGUAUAAACUUCACAUGCAGUGUGAAGUUUAAAAUGUCACUCGAAACAUCUGUAAACUAUAAAUGUAAAAUUUUAAGAAUAACUGUCAAGUAUAAAUAACAAAUUUGUAAUCAAAGUAUCAAUAUAUGUGGAAAAUACAAUUGAAUAAAAAUUAAUUAACUGCAAAA
Long non-coding RNA from Wasmannia auropunctata (little fire ant), 994 nucleotides. RefSeq lists it as uncharacterized. The record is from RefSeq and is a predicted model, not a curated record. The transcript is spliced from 2 exons. NCBI's taxonomy places the organism in Eukaryota, Metazoa, Arthropoda, Insecta, Hymenoptera, Formicidae.